This 424-nucleotide ribosomal RNA is filed under the name uncultured bacterium. Its description in RNAcentral is "bacterial SSU rRNA". It matches the Rfam family "Bacterial small subunit ribosomal RNA", at positions 343 to 766 of the family's 1533-position model. The record is from RNAcentral.
GGGAGGCAGCAGUGAGGAAUAUUGGUCAAUGGACGAGAGUCUGAACCAGCCAAGUAGCGUGAAGGAUGACUGCCUAUGGGUUGUAAACUUCUUUUAUACGGGAAUAAGUGAGGCACGUGUGCCUUUUUGUAUGUACCGUAUGAAUAAGGAUCGGCUAACUCCGUGCCAGCAGCCGCGGUAAUACGGAGGAUCCGAGCGUUAUCCGGAUUUAUUGGGUUUAAAGGGAGCGUAGGCGGACGCUUAAGUCAGUUGUGAAAGUUUGCGGCUCAACCGUAAAAUUGCAGUUGAUACUGGGUGUCUUGAGUACAGUAGAGGCAGGCGGAAUUCGUGGUGUAGCGGUGAAAUGCUUAGAUAUCACGAAGAACUCCGAUUGCGAAGGCAGCUUGCUGGACUGUAACUGACGCUGAUGCUCGAAAGUGUGGGU